CACAAGCGGUGGAGCAUGUGGUUUAAUUCGAUGAUACGCGAAAACCUUACCCGGGCUUGACAUGCAUCAGACAGGCGUAGAGAUACGCCCUCCGCGAGGCUGGUGCACAGGUGCUGCAUGGUUGUCGUCAGCUCGUGUCGUGAGAUGUUGGGUUAAGUCCCGCAACGAGCGCAACCCUUGUCAUUAGUUGCCAUCAUUUGGUUGGGCACUCUAAUGAGACUGCCGGUGACAAACCGGAGGAAGGUGGGGAUGACGUCAAGUCCUCAUGGCCCUUAUGGGUAGGGCUUCACACGUCAUACAAUGGUCGGUACAGAGGGUUGCCAACCCGCGAGGGGGAGCUAAUCCCACAAAGCCGAUCGUAGUCCGGAUCGCAGUCUGCAACUCGACUGCGUGAAGUCGGAAUCGCUAGUAAUCGUGGAUCAGCAUGUCACGGUGAAUACGUUCCCGGGUCUU
Molecule: ribosomal RNA, 453 nt
Filed under: uncultured Rhodocyclaceae bacterium
Lineage: Bacteria; Pseudomonadati; Pseudomonadota; Betaproteobacteria; Rhodocyclales; Rhodocyclaceae
Description: bacterial SSU rRNA
Rfam family: Bacterial small subunit ribosomal RNA
Source: RNAcentral